Molecule: ribosomal RNA, 253 nt
Filed under: uncultured bacterium
Lineage: Bacteria
Description: partial 16S ribosomal RNA
Rfam family: Bacterial small subunit ribosomal RNA
Source: RNAcentral
UACGGAGGAUCCGAGCGUUAUCCGGAUUUAUUGGGUUUAAAGGGAGCGUAGGUGGAUUGUUAAGUCAGUUGUGAAAGUUUGCGGCUCAACCGUAAAAUUGCAGUUGAAACUGGCAGUCUUGAGUACAGUAGAGGUGGGCGGAAUUCGUGGUGUAACGGUGAAAUGCUUAGAUAUCGCGAAGAACUCCGAUUGCGAAGGCAGCUCACUGGACUGCAACUGACACUGAGGCUCGAAAGUGUGGGUAUCAAACAGG